This 1529-nucleotide long non-coding RNA is filed under the name Nicotiana benthamiana. RNAcentral describes it as "long non-coding RNA (NBEN_LNC039144)". The record is from RNAcentral. Lineage: Eukaryota; Viridiplantae; Streptophyta; Magnoliopsida; Solanales; Solanaceae.
UAACACAAAAAAUAGGAGGGACACUCCUAAUCUGAAGAAAUAGGUUGGCGGCUGCUUCACAAAAAAAAACGCACACCUACACAAUACAAUACAUACAAUACACGCCGAUACACAACAGAAGAGAAGCGGCGCAGCUUUUGAAGACAACCCCCCUCUCUCUCGAUCAUCUUCUCUGUCUCACACAUAUCUACAAUCCCACCUUCACCAAGCUCACAGGACCGACGACGCAACACCAGAGAAAUGACCCCAACCCCCUUUCCUGUCUUAUUCAAACCCCCUGGUUCUGUAACGUUCAAUGGUCCCAAACGACCCGUGCUGUUUCCUCCAUUUUUUCCAUUCACGACCGCACAGGUAAACACGCACACACGUACAACUAACUGGGAAUACAUCAGAAACAGUGACAAUACAUGAGAGUUUUCCAGUCGUCGAGCCGCGUCGUCAUUAAAGUUCUGCUCGUCGUUCUCUGUUCGUUUCCAAACCUGUGCGCUUCUGCCUGAGCUAAUAUUUUGCUGGAUUAUGCUGCUUGUGUAAUUGCUGAACACUUCCGCUAAAUUGGAAGCUUGAUUUUAGGUUCAUAAUCUAUUGUUCCCAUAUUAUUUAAUUUUGUUAGAUUUCCGUUGCCUGUACUCUGUUUUACUUUCAUGCCUAAGGUCUGUGAUUUCUGAUUUGUUUUGCUUGGAGAUAUUUGGGUUGUGAUGUGAUGUGAUUUUUGUGAUGACUGAGUUAGUGUUCGAAUCCAUCGAGCCUCACAUGAAUAUACCGUAUGUUUGAUUGGUUUUCUUGGUUGAAUUUCAAUUGAGUCGAGUUUGAAGUUGUCCUAACUCACUUGUCGAUGUAGAUGUUAGUGGUAAAACGACUUACUGCUUGUAUUGAGGAAACAUUAGUUUUAGAAAAAAACCUUGCUUCUUCAAUGAAUGAUAGUGUAUUUUGUUUCAUCCGUGUAUUUGCUGUAAUCUUCGUUAAUUAAAGACCAUUGAAGGUUCAUUUCUUCUUUUCUCUUAAUGUAGUCUUUAAUUAUUUGUGAAUACAGGUAAAAUGGAAGUUGUUUGAAUUAGUUGUUCUGUUCGCUUUAUAUGUUAUCGCCUGAGCUAUUUGGAUUAGAACUUGUUUUUGAUCCAUGUAUUGUUGGUUCAAGGAGGACUCUUGUGAUUCCGGAUUGAAUCUGGAUCCUUUUAGGUUUGUGUUUUACCGUUUUUGAGCUCCUGAGUUUUUGUUGCUUAGCUAAAUGCGUUUACAUGAUUUAAUGGGAAGUUACUGAAAUCUUCAUGUAAUAGUGUGCACAAAUUCUCAUUGAUGAACACGCUGGAUUUCUGUUCUAUUUUGAGCUGAUUUGUCACCAGUUCUCAAACUUUCAUUGGCAUAUUCAAAUUUGAGUAGGAAGGAAAAGAAUCCUGUUGAUUUAGUUGUUGUAAAGCUAUUAGAAAGCCAACAUUCCCUGGAUCAGGAAGGAAAAGAAGCUUGUUGAUUUAGCUGUUGUAAAGCUAUUAGGAAGCCAGCAUUCCCUGGAUCAUAGGCAAGCUGAGAAAAGG